Daphnia pulex (common water flea) is the source of this 120-nucleotide non-coding RNA. NCBI's taxonomy places the organism in Eukaryota, Metazoa, Arthropoda, Branchiopoda, Diplostraca, Daphniidae. The record is from Rfam.
GUCAGGAUGGCCGAGCGGUCUAAGGCGCCAGACUCAAGGACAAAUUCUCUUGCUUCAUUAAGAGAAGUUGCAGUAUUCUGGUCUCCAAUGAAGGCGUGGGUUCAAAUCCCACUCCUGACC